AUGUCAAAAGCCCACAAUAUUUCUCCCCAAAACCCUAACCCUUCACUGACCCCAUCGUAUAUAAAUACGACCACGAAGCUGCAAGUCUAAUAGAUUCUCACUCUGAUUUCUCCUAAGCCGUAGCCUAGUGUUUCUUCCCCUGCAGUUACUCCUCCGCCACCGCCUACCAAUGGUACUCUCCUUAACCAUGGUGAUACUCUUGUAUUUUUGAUUUGUUUUAGUUAUGAUUUGAAAGCUUCUUUAUCUGGUUGGCAAAAGAUUAUCUAUUUUUGACCAACUCGUUCCCUAGAAGCUAUAGUGUGUGUGUUGCUCCUUUUUAUAUUCUCCUUCAUUAACCCCUUUUUUCAUUUGUGUUUGGAUUACACUGGGGCAGCUACAUUUUUUUAAACAAAAUUAUAUGAUAGGGGUGAACAACAGUGAUGAGCCAUUAUACAGACACAGACCUGUAAUGAUUUGCGAAAAUGAUCGCAAUUUAUGAACAUCUAAGGGACUGAGUUUGUUCACCUUGUUCUAAUUACUCCAUAUAUUUUGAAUAUACUGCCGUUUAAGAUUAAUUAUCUUUUGAAGUUUUUUAAUGAAUGAGAAUGUGUGGAACAACGAUGAUGAGCUAUUUAUACAGACACAGACCUGUAAUGAUUUGCGAAAAUGAUCGCAAUUUAUGAACAUCUAAGGGACUGAGUUUUUCCACUCAAUUCCAAUUUUUUAAUCUAAACUGUGCUUUAUUUGUUCAAUUUUAUUCAAAAGUUUGUGACUUUUAUUUGAAAUAUGCUUUGCAUAUCUAUUUAUUUAUUGGGUCACACAUUGCCGUGUGGCACUUUGACAAGUGAAGCUAAAAAGAAUGUUCCUCUCGCUAUCCUUUGCUCCUUUUAUGGUGUAUUUGGACGUUGGGGUACUACAUUGUUUAUGUUCAUUUCUCAGAAGUAGGAUGGUCUAUUUUCCUGUUAAUUUCAAAGCAUUAAUUAGAUUGUAGCCAACAUAAAUAUGGUAAAACAAUGAAGUAAAAUUUGUGAUCUAUUAUCCUACUGAAUAUUGAAGCUCUUAAUUGUGUUUUGUGCCUAUUAUAUUACGGAAUAUUGUGUUGUAGUAUUUUUUUGGCUCCGAUGCUUCGCUAUCUGGUUGGCAAAAUUCAAUUAUUUUUGACCGACUCGUUCCCUUGAAGCAAAAGUGAUCGUGAUGCUCUGUAUUAAUAUCUCUGUUCGUAUACUCAUUUCUAUUUGUGUUUGGAGAAUACCGGCGCAUCUACAUGUUAUUAUUUUAAUUUAUUUAUAGAAGUUUUUUAUUAUUACUUCAUUCUGGAAUAAUACAGUUUUUAAUUUUACAUGCUUUAACUUAUUGAAAAGUAUUUUGGGCCACACAGUAUUAUUGCACUUAAGGCUUUUGCCUUUUAAGCUUUUAGGAUCACAUGUAUCAAAAUAAUAUAUAGUCAGCUUAACAUAAUUCUGGCUAAGGGAUUUUUGGUUCCGCCCUUCCUUACAUACAUGUAAUAAUUUGUUAAUGACUAAUUUUGCUGUGAUACUCUGCCCCUGCAGGUAGGUAAUGUCUGAUUAAUUUUGCUCUGUGGAAGGGAGAUGCUAAUGUAUCUUUGUAUUGUACGUUGUCCAGUUAGUCUCUGUCCCGAAUUCUUAUGAUGCCUUUCUUAACUGAGUUGGACGUUGUGGGAGCUAUAUUAGUAUGUUCAUCUCUUAGAAUUAGAUGUGAGAUUAGAUUGUGGUCAUUUUCAGUUAAACUGUAGAUUUUAUGUCACUAAUUAAUAACGUUGCAUUGUCUUUCAAUCGCUUGGUGUUAGAAUCGAUAAGAUAGAUUUAGAGCGUAAAUAAAUUAGAGAUGAACUGUUUAAAAUUUUCUAAGCCUAUAGAAAUGCACUAAUGAGCAAUAGUCAGCUUUGCCACAUAAUGGCUUUUGUGGAUGAGUUUGGGUAUUGUAUUAUCGCAGGUCGUGCUACUCCGUUUUUGGGCGUGAUAAUCCGGGUCUGGUGGCUAGACCCAUAUGGAAGGGAUAGGUUGUAGCAUACAAAAACAUAAGAAUUAGGCAGAAU
This 2035-nucleotide long non-coding RNA is filed under the name Nicotiana tabacum (common tobacco). RNAcentral describes it as "long non-coding RNA (NTAB_LNC003368)". The stretch from base 766 to 900 matches the Rfam family "Small nucleolar RNA snoR136". The record is from RNAcentral. Lineage: Eukaryota; Viridiplantae; Streptophyta; Magnoliopsida; Solanales; Solanaceae.